ACAUGAAGUCGGAAUCGCUAGUAAUCGCGGAUCAGCACGCCGCGGUGAAUACGUUCCCGGGCCUUGUACACACCGCCCGUCACACCACGAGAGUUUGUAACACCCGAAGUCGGUGAGGUAACCUUUUGGAGCCAGCCGCCUAAGGUGGGAUAGAUGAUUGGGGUGAAGUCGUAACAAGGUAGCCGUAUCGGAAGGUGCGGCUGGAUCACCUCCUUUCUAAGGAA
This 224-nucleotide ribosomal RNA is filed under the name Streptococcus salivarius. RNAcentral describes it as "partial 16S ribosomal RNA". It matches the Rfam family "Bacterial small subunit ribosomal RNA", at positions 1318 to 1533 of the family's 1533-position model. The record is from RNAcentral. Lineage: Bacteria; Bacillati; Bacillota; Bacilli; Lactobacillales; Streptococcaceae.